ACGAACGCUGGCGGCCUGCCUCACACAUGCACGUCGAACGAGACCUUCGGGUCUAGUGGCGCACGGGUGCGUAACGCGUGGGAACCUGCCCUUAGGUUCGGAAUAACUCCCCGAAAGGGGUGCUAAUACCGGAUAAUGUCUUCGGACCAAAGAUUUAUCGCCUUUGGAUGGGCCCGCGUUGGAUUAGCUAGUUGGUAGGGUAAAAGCCUACCAAGGCGACGAUCCAUAGCUGGUCUGAGAGGAUGAUCAGCCACACUGGGACUGAGACACGGCCCAGACUCCUACGGGAGGCAGCAGUGGGGAAUAUUGGACAAUGGGCGAAAGCCUGAUCCAGCAAUGCCGCGUGAGUGAUGAAGGCCUUAGGGUUGUAAAGCUCUUUUACCCGGGAUGAUAAUGACAGUACCGGGAGAAUAAGCUCCGGCUAACUCCGUG
RNAcentral lists this ribosomal RNA (432 nucleotides) under uncultured bacterium. RNAcentral describes it as "partial 16S ribosomal RNA". It matches the Rfam family "Bacterial small subunit ribosomal RNA", at positions 29 to 507 of the family's 1533-position model. The record is from RNAcentral.